RNAcentral lists this ribosomal RNA (370 nucleotides) under uncultured organism. RNAcentral's name for it is "partial 16S ribosomal RNA". It matches the Rfam family "Bacterial small subunit ribosomal RNA", at positions 527 to 896 of the family's 1533-position model. The record is from RNAcentral.
GUAGGGUGCGAGCGUUAAUCGGAAUUACUGGGCGUAAAGCGUGCGCAGGCGGUUAUGUAAGACAGAUGUGAAAUCCCCGGGCUCAACCUGGGAACUGCAUUAGUGACUGCAUAGCUGGAGUACGGCAGAGGGGGAUGGAAUUCCGCGUGUAGCAGUGAAAUGCGUAGAUAUGCGGAGGAACACCGAUGGCGAAGGCAAUCCCCUGGGCCUGUACUGACGCUCAUGCACGAAAGCGUGGGGAGCAAACAGGAUUAGAUACCCUGGUAGUCCCACGCCCUAAACGAUGUCAACUGGUUGUUGGGUCUUCACUGACUCAGUAACGAAGCUAACGCGUGAAGUUGACCGCCUGGGGAGUACGGCCGCAAGGUUG